UACGUAGGGGGCAAGCGUUAUCCGGAUUUACUGAGUGUAAAGGGAGCGUAGACGGAUAAGCAAGUCUGAUGUGAAAAUCCGGGGCCCAACCCCGGAAUUGCAUUGGAAACUGCAUAUCUAGAGUGUCGGAGAGGCAGGUGGAAUUCCUGGUGUAGCGGUGAAAUGCGUAGAUAUCAGGAGGAACACCAGUGGCGAAGGCGGCUUGCUGGACGAUGACUGACGUUGAGGCUCGAAAGCGUGGGGAGCAAACAGG
This 253-nucleotide ribosomal RNA is filed under the name uncultured bacterium. Its description in RNAcentral is "partial 16S ribosomal RNA". It matches the Rfam family "Bacterial small subunit ribosomal RNA", at positions 524 to 776 of the family's 1533-position model. The record is from RNAcentral.